GACGAACGCUGGCGGCGUGCCUAAUACAUGCAAGUAGAACGCUGAAGGAGGACCUUGCUUCUCUGGAUGAGUUGCGAACGGGUGAGUAACGCGUAGGUAACCUGCCUUGUAGCGGGGGAUAACUAUUGGAAACGAUAGCUAAUACCGCAUAAUAGUAGAUGUUGCAUGACAUUUGCUUAAAAGGUGCAAUUGCAUCACUACCAGAUGGACCUGCGUUGUAUUAGCUAGUUGGUGGGGUAACGGCUCACCAAGGCGACGAUACAUAGCCGCACUGCGAGGGGGAUCGGCCACCCUGGGAGUGAGACACGGCCCAGAGGCCUACGGGAGGCAGCAGUAGGGAAUCGUCGGCAAUGGACGGAAGUCUGACCGAGCAACGCCGAGUGAGUGAAGAAGGUCUUCGGAUCGGAAAGCUCUGUUGUAAGAGAAGAACGAGUGUGAGAGUGGAAAGUUCACACUGUGACGGUAUCUUACCAGAAAGGGACGGCUAACUACGUG
RNAcentral lists this ribosomal RNA (495 nucleotides) under uncultured bacterium. Its description in RNAcentral is "partial 16S ribosomal RNA". It matches the Rfam family "Bacterial small subunit ribosomal RNA", at positions 28 to 507 of the family's 1533-position model. The record is from RNAcentral.